GGAUUAGCGGCGAACGGGUGAGGAACACGUGAGGAAUCUGCCUUCAACACUGGGAUAACUCCGGGAAACCGGGGCUAAUACCGGAUACGAGACCUGCAGGCAUCUGCGGGUCUGGAAAGUUUUUCGGUUGAAGAUGACCUCGCGGCCUAUCAGCUUGUUGGUGAGGUAAUGGCUCACCAAGGCGACGACGGGUAGCCAGCCUGAGAGGGCGACCGGCCACACUGGGACUGAGACACGGCCCAGACUCCUACGGGAGGCAGCAGUGGGGAGUAUUGGGCAAUGGAGGGAACUCUGACCCAGCGACGCCGCGUGCGGGAUGAAGGCCUUCGGGUUGUAAACCGCUUUCAGCAAGGAAGAAGCGAAAGUGACGGUACUUGCAGAAGAAGCACCGGCUAACUAUGUGCCAGCAGCCGCGGUAAUACAUAGGGUGCAAGCGUUGUCCGGAAUUAUUGGGCGUAAAGAGCUCGUAGGUGGUUCGUCACGUCGGAUGUGAAAAUCUGGGGCUU
Molecule: ribosomal RNA, 506 nt
Filed under: uncultured Actinomycetes bacterium
Lineage: Bacteria; Bacillati; Actinomycetota; Actinomycetes
Description: bacterial SSU rRNA
Rfam family: Bacterial small subunit ribosomal RNA
Source: RNAcentral